Mauremys mutica (yellowpond turtle) is the source of this 1765-nucleotide long non-coding RNA. RefSeq lists it as uncharacterized. The record is from RefSeq and is a predicted model, not a curated record. The transcript is spliced from 7 exons. Lineage: Eukaryota; Metazoa; Chordata; Testudines; Geoemydidae.
GUGUAGAUUAAUUCCUUACUUAUGCUUGGAAAAUUUGGAGCUGUUCUUGAAAACUAAUCAAGGGAACCUGGGGGGUAAUGUAAUUUGCAGCCAAAGCUGAUCUGAUCCCAUGGUGCAUAGUGUAUGAAAUAACAAGUUUCUCAAGCAAAGGAUGUGAGCUAGUAUCUGUGUUACAAACCUUUGCUUCAGAUAGUUACCUUGUCUCUCCUACUUGACACUGUUGUUUUGUUCUAGUGCUUCAUUUAGAUUUAGGUUGCAAUUAAAGGUCACCUAUGUGAUUUCUUUUUUUUAAAAAUGCGGUGUUGCUCUUUUUUGGAUUGAUUUCUGUCCCUUAGGUAUCAGGAAUGCCAACCCUGGUCUAUCCUUGCUCUGCUGGAGAACUUUUUGGAGGACUCAGUGGAUGUAUAUCGUUAUUGCUUGUAACUUAAUUGAAGAGUUCACCGAAAGGCUGACUCAGUCACCAAGAUCAAUCUGCAAGUUGGGGAACAGGAGAGGAGAGGACAAGUUUGCUGUAAGCAGCCCCUGCAGAUGUCUUGGCACCAUCUCAAAGGAACAUUGCAGGUAAUGCUGCUCGGAAAAUUUAGGUGAGCAAACUUCAGUGGCUGUCGCUCUCCUUGGUAGGCAGGCAGUCAUAGCUCAGUGCUAAGACGGGUAGAUGCCAAUGGGAUUUCAUUUUACUAAUAAGGCUGCUGAUUGAGCCUCGGAUGAUGGACACCAUGUGUGUCACUCAGAGCCCCCCAAUACCCGUGUGGAAUCCCAUUGACUUUGAAAGGUCUCUGCCUGGGCACCAGGGUCCUGGCUAGUGGAUCUCACCGCUGGAUGGGAGUUCUUUGCGGCAGUCUUCUAUGUGAGUCUGUCACGUACACGUCACUUGGAGCCUUAGUCAUGGAUCAGGAUGCUAAGUGCGGUGUGAGCAACAAAAAGCUGGUCCCUGCUCCCAACGAGUUUACAAUCUAAGUCUAAUGCAAGCAACAGCCAAUGGAUACAGAACGAUGUGGGAAUACAAGUUAACCGUGAGACUGAAUUGAUGGACUGCUAAUUGAGUUCCAGAUGAUCCAAAGAAUUUAGGCACCUAACUGCUACUGGAAUCAAUAGGCAUUUAAGUACCUUUGCAGAUCUGGCCCCAGACUUCUAAUAUCUUUCUGAGGGCCCUAGGGCUAACUGCAUCGCUGUCCUUUCUCUAGGUGCUCAGAGUGCACCCCCUCAGGUGUCAGGCCUUGUACCUUUACCUCCCCUGGGGUGGAAUCACACUAUUCUCCAACUCAUAUACUGGAUCUUGGGCUGCAGUAUCGUGUGAAUCCACUGUGCUUAUCAAGGAGAUAUGACUGGGUGCGGCACCUGCAGGUCUUCCCUUCAGAAGUCUGUGACCAGCAGUGAUCACUAUGGAUCAGCCACCCGUCUUAAACCAAAGUAUUGUCUAAUCUUAAUGGCAGGACUAAAGCAUAACAGAUUUUAAAACAACAAACAGUCUACCUGCAUGUCUAUUUUACCUAGAGACUUACCAUCUCCUGAUGGAAGCCUAGAAAGACUUAACUUCUUCAGACUCUCCAGCGGGUGUCUCUGUGUGUGUCUGUUUGUUCCCUCAGACAGCUGUCCAACACCAGCUUUUGCUCUGGAACAGGAGUCUUUUUACCUGUUUAUAAUCCUUUUCGUCAGCUGGCUCUCUGCAUUGGCUCUGCGAGUAAAACAUGUUUUGUAACUUAGGCCUGGUCUACACUACGGGGUUAGGUCGAAUUUAGCCAUGUUAGGUCAAUUUAAAAAUGAC